This 642-nucleotide long non-coding RNA is filed under the name Rhinopithecus bieti (black snub-nosed monkey). RNAcentral describes it as "lncRNA (ENSRBIG00000046073.1)". Lineage: Eukaryota; Metazoa; Chordata; Mammalia; Primates; Cercopithecidae. The record is from RNAcentral.
GUUUUUAAUCCUUGGUCAGGUCUUCAGUUCCUGGACAUAGAAGAGCAAGAUAUGUAUGGAAAAGUGCCGCUGUGGGAGGAGACAAGGGUAUGAUUCAAGUGCAGGGAUCUUGUUAAAGAAAAAGGACACAAUAGUGACCUGGAAGAAAAGGAGUGAAACAGAAACAUUAUAUUCAACGUUUCAGCCAAGUUACUGGGAUUGGCUGUCAGCAGUCCACUUCACAACAGAGUUGACUCAUCGAGCACAUGCUGACUGACCAGCUAGUGCCAAGUGAACAGGAGCAAUGAUGGCCACCAAAGGCAGAGACAACUAAAAGCCUUUGUUAGAGACUGUUCGUGUUCUGAAUGGAGUACAAAACAAAGCACGGAUAAAGUCAAGAGAGAAGUGUGUGCGCGCUGUUAUGCUAUAAACUUUAAGACGUCUGGCAGAUCUAGUGGCAGAUCUAGUGGCAAAGCAACAUAGGUUUAGACAGAAGAGACGAGUAUUCAGAAUAGCUUUUAAAGAAUUAACAUACACAAAUUGGUGGAACGUGGGUGUGAAAAUGCCAACAGGUGAAGAGCAAGAAUAAAGGAAGGUUGGUAUAGAAAUAAAUCAGUAUCAGUGGGAUCAAAAUAUUAAAUUUACUAGAGCUGAGGAUGGGUU